CGGGUGAGUAACGCGUGGGCAACCUGCCUUAUACAGGGGGAUAACAGCUGGAAACAGCUGCUAAUACCGCAUAAGCGCACAGUGCUGCAUGGUACAGUGUGAAAAACUGAGGUGGUAUAAGAUGGGCCCGCGUCUGAUUAGCUGGUUGGGAGGGUAACGGCCUACCAAGGCGACGAUCAGUAGCCGGCCUGAGAGGGCGGACGGCCACAUUGGGACUGAGACACGGCCCAGACUCCUACGGAAGGCAGCAG
RNAcentral lists this ribosomal RNA (251 nucleotides) under uncultured bacterium. RNAcentral's name for it is "partial 16S ribosomal RNA". It matches the Rfam family "Bacterial small subunit ribosomal RNA", at positions 103 to 354 of the family's 1533-position model. The record is from RNAcentral.